AGAGUUUGAUCCUGGCUCAGAACGAACGCUGGCGGCAGGCCUCAAACAUGCAAGUCUAGGGGGUGUAGCAAUACAUCACCGGCGGACGGGUGCGUAACACGUGGGAAUAUACCUUUUGGUUCGGAACAACGCAGGGGAAACUUGCGCUAAUACCGAAUGUGCCUUUACGGGGAAAGAUUUAUCGCCAAAGGAUUAGCCCGCGUCCGAUUAGCUAGUUGGUGAGGUAAUGGCUCACCAAGGCUCCGAUCGGUAGCUGUUCUGAGAGGAAGAUCAGCCACACUGGGACUGAGACACGGCCCAGACUCCUACGGGAGGCAGCAGUUGGGAAUCUUGGACAAUGGGGGAAACCCUGAUCCAGCCAUGCCGCGUGAGUGAUGAAGGCCUUCGGGUUGUAAAACUCUUUCGACGGGGACGAUAAUGACGGUACCCGUAGAAGAAGCUCCGGGCUAACUUCGUGCCAGCAGCCGCGGUAAUACGAAGGGGGCUAGCGUUGUUCGGAAUUACUGGGCGUAAAGCGCGCGCAGGCGGUUUUUCAAGUCAGUGGUGAAAGCCCGGAGCUCAACUCCGGAACUGCCAUUGAAACUGUGAAACUUGAGGAUGAGAGAGGUGAGUGGAAUUCCCAGUGUAGAGGUGAAAUUCGUAGAUAUUGGGAAGAACACCGGUGGCGAAGGCGGCUCACUGGC
This 683-nucleotide ribosomal RNA is filed under the name uncultured bacterium. Its description in RNAcentral is "bacterial SSU rRNA". It matches the Rfam family "Bacterial small subunit ribosomal RNA", at positions 8 to 733 of the family's 1533-position model. The record is from RNAcentral.